CGUAGAACGAGAUGUGAGCCAAGACGUUGUAAAAAGAGAUUAAAUUAGUAUUUUCCUUGUCAAAUAAAUAAAUACAUACAUACAUACAUAAAUAAUACAGUCCACACAACAGUGGUUAUUGUUUGAUCAAAAUCACUUGAGUAGUCGUUGGCUAUUGGUAGAUGUAUUGGUUCAUGUCCCGUCCAUAGACCGUAUAAAAACAGGUCCCGUCCCAUACUUGGUAUUAUUAACCAUAGACUGUAAAAAUAUAUAUUGCAUCCAGCCACCAGAUGGCGACCGAAAUGGCUUCACUGCACACUUGAGUAGAGUAGUAGAGGACUCGUACUAAACUAUGCAAUCGUUAGCUACUACUAUAAGCGCCACCCGUAGUCGAUAUAGCCAACCUUUUUUUCCUGAUAUACGGGAGCGAUCUCCUCGCAAACUAAGUCAGAGCGUAUGUGGCACUGUUGAGCUCAGAAACAGGGAGGAGACUAUAGACAUCUACAGUCAACUGAACUCAACUCAUGUCAGCGCGAAAUGCUGUCAACAGGUAUCUCGUGGAUCCUCCUGCUGAUUCCCUUGAGCACAGCCAAUAGAGGUUUCACAAAGUGUAAGGGUGAUCACACUACAUUGUCCUGUCUGGACCCAAAGAAUCAUAUCGAGGGCAAAGUGGAGAUAAAUGCACUUUGGAAAAAAGAUUCUGGUGAAAGAGUGAUCUGGAACUACAACGGAGACCGCAAAAAAGGAGAUACUUUCAUGAACAGGACAGUAGAGUUGAAUGAAGAUUUAUCCCUUUACAUUGAUGGAUGUGAUCAGUCAGAUCAAGGCAUAUAUAUUCUCUGUAUUGAUGGGAAACCGAGCUGUGAAGUUACGCUAUUUGUCAGAGACUCAAAACAAUGCAAACCAAAACCAUCCUCAGAACAAUCAAUUAGAAGCACUGCAUCUUCUAUGGCAAAACAAGCUACCAGAGAUGAAAAACACCUGCAAACUGAAACCAGUCUGCCUAAUACUUACAUCAGAUGGGUUAUUUAUGCCUGUUUGUGUUUGGCUGUGCUUGUGGUCUUAUUGCUGUUUAUCCGUGUUAUCCAUGCAUGCAUCCCAAAAGAGGAAACUAGUAAAAAUGACAAGUCAGGAUCUAAACUGCUCCAUAUAUAUAUAUAGAGUAACUAUGCCGGUGCAUGAUUUUAAAUUUAAUGUGGACACAACAGCAUAUCGUAAGGAUGAACAUCAGAACCGAAACGUUAGAUUUUUCAGAUUUAUGUCAGGACGUCACAUUUUCAUAAUUCUUCUGACGUCAGCAAAGAAAAGUUAUGCCCCAAUAUGCCUGAGCUACAUUUGCCCACCCUUUUUUUUGAUAUGGUGCAAAUUUUCUUUCCCUUACAGUUUGCGUUUGUAUUGUCUUUGCUUGGGGCCCCCAAGGACCAAUGAUGAAAGCAAAGGCAAUACAACUUCAAACAGUAAGGGAAAGAAAGUUUGCACAAUACCAAACAAAAGGGUGGGCAAAUGUAGUUCAGAAAUGUUGCCAAUAUGCAUCCGCUCUUAUAGAGUAGUUGUUAAAAAUAUUGAAACACUAAAUAUCUGCAUAUGUUUAACUUCACGAAUAAUAUUGUUUCUAACUUUCAAAGAAUUAUUAGACACUGUUCUAGCUCUAAAUAGCAAAGAUCAUCUGGAAUUAAUCUGGGUGGAGGCAUAUCUUUUUCCAUUUACUGGAAACUUAUGGAAUCAAGCUGUUUCAUUACAUAUUUAUAUUGUGAAAAUUGUAGAUAAUAAUGAGUGGCUGCUAUACAGCUUUUUUUUAAUAAAGAAAAUAUACAUAAAUCAAAUCCUUGAGUCCAUUUCUUUAAUUAUGAGGCCGUUUGUUGAAACUGAACCUGCUGAAUGAAGACAAGGCUUCACUGUAAAUUCUACAGCAGAAGCAUGUUUUUACUAAUGUUUUUAUAAUUUUGCAAAUGACAUUUAGGUAUUUUUCCCCAUCAGCCUGGAACAAUAAGCAUGAAGUUACCCAGUUGUUCAUUUACAAUGAGUUCAUC
RNAcentral lists this long non-coding RNA (2009 nucleotides) under Sinocyclocheilus anshuiensis. Its description in RNAcentral is "lncRNA (ENSSANG00000044921.1)". The record is from RNAcentral. Lineage: Eukaryota; Metazoa; Chordata; Actinopteri; Cypriniformes; Cyprinidae.